This is a non-coding RNA of Picea glauca (white spruce), 74 nucleotides long. The record is from Rfam. NCBI's taxonomy places the organism in Eukaryota, Viridiplantae, Streptophyta, Pinopsida, Pinales, Pinaceae.
GGGCAUGUAGCUCAAACGGUAGAGCGCUCGGUUUGCAUUUUGAGAGGUACGGGGUUCGAUAUCCCGCAUCUCCA